GACGAACGCUGGCGGCGUGCCUAAUGCAUGCAAGUAGAACGCUGAAGGAGGAGCUUGCUUCUCUGGAUGAGUUGCGAACGGGUGAGUAACGCGUAGGUAACCUGCCUGGUAGCGGGGGAUAACUAUUGGAAACGAUAGCUAAUACCGCAUAAUAGUAGAUGUUGCAUGACAUUUGCUUAAAAGGUGCAAUUGCAUCACCACCAGAUGGACCUGCGUUGUAUUAGCUAGUUGGUGGGGUAACGGCUCACCAAGGCGACGAUACAUAGCCGACCUGAGAGGGUGAUCGGCCACACUGGGACUGAGACACGGCCCAGACUCCUACGGGAGGCAGCAGUAGGGAAUCUUCGGCAAUGGACGGAAGUCUGACCGAGCAACGCCGCGUGAGUGAAGAAGGUUUUCGGAUCGUAAAGCUCUGUUGUAAGAGAAGAACGAGUGUGAGAGUGGAAAGUUCACACUGUGACGGUAGCUUACCAGAAAGGGACGGCUAACUACGUG
Molecule: ribosomal RNA, 495 nt
Filed under: uncultured bacterium
Lineage: Bacteria
Description: partial 16S ribosomal RNA
Rfam family: Bacterial small subunit ribosomal RNA
Source: RNAcentral